Molecule: long non-coding RNA, 658 nt
Organism: Lactuca sativa (garden lettuce)
Lineage: Eukaryota; Viridiplantae; Streptophyta; Magnoliopsida; Asterales; Asteraceae
Source: RefSeq, a predicted model, not a curated record
ACAACCCUAAACCUAAUUAGUUUCGUCUUCCUUACACAGCCGCCUCGAUGCAUCCUUAUGGCAUGACUCCGGCACCAAGUCCUUGGCCCUAUACACGACGCCACCACCACCUGAUCCUUGUCCAUUACCGUCAUCAUCAACCUCCCCUACACAUUAGCCCUAAAAUCUUCCAUCUCGAAUCUUGUCUUCGGCCUUAGUAUCUGCCAACCAGCAGCAACUGAAAUUACACCACCAGCCGUCGGGCAGCAACCACCGACUACUUUUUCCGCAACACUACUGAUGACACAGGCCACAAUCGGCAAUGGUCUAACCAUCUCCGACAAGUAUCCCCAAAGCAGCAUCUAGAGUAAAAGUGUUGAUGGUGGAAACAAAUACAAGCUGAAUCUUGAUACAACGUUCACGAAAAGAAACAAAGAGAAGGAAUGGUGAUUUAAGGGGGGGGGGGGGGAGGAGAGACUUGUAAUGGUUGUGAAAGUGGCUUUAUUUUAUUUAUGCCUGUUAAGAUAAAGUUUGAUUGGUUGAAUUUUGCUCACGCGGAUCAGUAACUUAAUGAAUGGUUUUGAUUGUAUUAAGAUAAAAUCAAGGGUCAAGAUGUCAUCUUCAUAUGAGAGUCAAUGUGAUUUUAAGAGAUUGAAUUUGACUGGUUGCUUUUGUUUCA